This 253-nucleotide ribosomal RNA is filed under the name uncultured bacterium. RNAcentral describes it as "partial 16S ribosomal RNA". It matches the Rfam family "Bacterial small subunit ribosomal RNA", at positions 524 to 776 of the family's 1533-position model. The record is from RNAcentral.
UACGGAGGGUGCUAGCGUUGUUCGGAAUCACUGGGCGUAAAGGGCGUGUAGGCGGUCUGUUAAGUCUGAUGUGAAAUCCCCUCGCUCAACGAGGGAACUGCGUCGGAUACUGGCAGACUUGAGUACCGGAGAGGAAGGUGGAAUUCCACGUGUAGCGGUGAAAUGCGUAGAUAUGUGGAAGAACACCGGUGGUGAAGACGGUUUACUGGGCUGAAACUGACGCUGAGGCGCGAAAGCAUGGGGAGCAAACAGG